RNAcentral lists this ribosomal RNA (500 nucleotides) under uncultured bacterium. RNAcentral's name for it is "partial 16S ribosomal RNA". It matches the Rfam family "Bacterial small subunit ribosomal RNA", at positions 30 to 523 of the family's 1533-position model. The record is from RNAcentral.
AUUGAACGCUGGCGGCAUGCUUUACACAUGCAAGUCGAACGGCAGCACGGGCUUCGGCCUGGUGGCGAGUGGCGAACGGGUGAGUAAUACAUCGGAACGUACCCAGUAGCGGGGGAUAGCGCGGCGAAAGCCGGAUUAAUACCGCAUAUGCCCUGAGGGGGAAAGCGGGGGAUCGCAAGGCCUCGCGCGAUUGGAUGGGCCGAUAUCAGAUUAGGUAGUUGGUGGGGUAAAGGCUCACCAAGCCAACGAUCUGUAGCUGGUAUGAGAGGACGACCAGCCACACUGGAACUGAGACACGGUCCAGACUCCUACGGGAGGCAGCAGUGGGGAAUUUUGGACAAUGGACGCAAGUCUGAUCCAGCCAUUCCGCGUGCAGGAUGAAGGCCCUCGGGUUGUAAACUGCUUUUGUACGGAACGAAAAGGUCUCUCUUAAUACGGGGGACUCAUGACGGUACCGUAAGAAUAAGCACCGGCUAACUACGUGCCAGCCGCCGCGGUAA